CAACCCAUGGAAAAAAUAUGGUAAUGAGGUCAUAAUGAGGUUUGACGUCAUGACAGUUGCUCCGCCCUGAUUGAUCCUUAUAAGGAAAUAGAGCUCGAAAUAACUAUUUACCGAUAUUUGCAAGAAUUUGUAACAAACGGCAAUAUUUCCAUGUCUAAAUAAAUAAUUAUUAGUGAUUUUCUCCUAUAUAGAAUGGCAUGUUUUUAAAAUAAUCCGAUUUCUUAUGUGCCGUUUGGCUGCAUUCGGCUUCAGCCAAGCGCUUGCACUCGAUCACACGGAAUGUUGUUUACAUCUAAAACGUGGCGACAUCAGCUGAGAUAUGCAGUGGAUUUAUAUGCAAUAAUCAGACAUUCUUUAAAGAAUUAGGGAUAAGAUAAGUGACAAGGCAUUGUUUAUCCCUAUUACGAGAAUGUGAGGACAUUAUUACCGAAAAUAAUGGAAGAGUGAGACGAUCUGCACCAGCUCCCUAGAUCCAUCAAUGCAAUGCAUUCAGCCCAGCAGUCAAGGGGUCCAGGCUUGAAGUAUAAAUAAAUACAAAAUGCAUCCAUUUCUCCACAGGAUAUUCCUAAAGAAUUAGACCAAUGGAAUCAUUCAUGAUCAGGUAGCAAGUUAAUCCAUGAUGUAAGGAAAAUGAAUUGAUUUCAUCCACAAGAACAUGAAGUGAUGGAAAAAAAAUUGCAGACCCCCCCCCUCCCCCCAGUAUUCCUUGUACAGUCUAUUUUAAUUUGAAAAGCUGUUUAUGAAAUAAAAUUUC
Saccostrea cuccullata (small rock oyster) is the source of this 754-nucleotide long non-coding RNA. RefSeq lists it as uncharacterized. The record is from RefSeq and is a predicted model, not a curated record. The transcript has 4 exons. Lineage: Eukaryota; Metazoa; Mollusca; Bivalvia; Ostreida; Ostreidae.